UUAUUUCAUCCGUUUUUGAUGGAGACGUUUUAAGAUGGAUUAAUAUGUUUUCUGGAUCAGGAUAUUUAGUAGCAGAUGGAUAAAACUUUCAUGAAGAACAGACCAUUUAUAAUCUUCAUUAUUGGAAUUGAUUAGACUAUCUGUCAGUCUGAAUAUUUUAAGUGGACAACCUUCAUCAGCUGUGUCACAUAACAACAAACAUUUUGAGACAUAUCUCGAAUAAUAUAUACAGUUAAAAAUAAAUGAAAUCAGUGCUAUACAUACUGUUUUGUGAAAAAUAUGAUUGACAAAAUGCAUUUUUUUUUAGUUUUUUUUUAUAAUUUAAAAUAAAAGAGUUCUAUAGUCUUA
Long non-coding RNA from Mytilus trossulus (common blue mussel), 348 nucleotides. RefSeq lists it as uncharacterized. Lineage: Eukaryota; Metazoa; Mollusca; Bivalvia; Mytilida; Mytilidae. The record is from RefSeq and is a predicted model, not a curated record. The transcript has 2 exons.